Molecule: unclassified non-coding RNA, 338 nt
Filed under: soil metagenome
Description: partial contains 5.8S ribosomal RNA, internal transcribed spacer 2, and large subunit ribosomal RNA
Rfam family: 5.8S ribosomal RNA (bases 2-121)
Source: RNAcentral
UGAUGAAGAACGCAGCGAAAUGCGAUAAGUAGUGUGAAUUGCAGAAUUCAGUGAAUCAUCGAAUCUUUGAACGCACAUUGCGCCCUUUGGUAUUCCUUAGGGCAUGCCUGUUCGAGCGUCAUCUAAACCUUCAAGCCCUGCUUGGUGUUGGGUGCCUGUCCCGCCUCUGCGCGUGGACUCACCUCAAAUCCAUUGGCGGCCCCCGCGUCGGCCACGAGCGCAGCAGAAACGCGAACUCGUGAGCCCGUCCGGGCGGCUCCCAGAAGCUAACCCCCAAUUUUUGACCUCGGAUCAGGUAGGGAUACCCGCUGAACUUAAGCAUAUCAAUAAGCGGAGGA